AACGAACGCUGGCGGCAUGCCUAACACAUGCAAGUCGAACGAGACCUUCGGGUCUAGUGGCGCACGGGUGCGUAACGCGUGGGAACCUGCCCUUAGGUUCGGAAUAACUCCCCGAAAGGGGUGCUAAUACCGGAUAAUGUCUUCGGACCAAAGAUUUAUCGCCUUUGGAUGGGCCCGCGUUGGAUUAGCUAGUUGGUAGGGUAAAAGCCUACCAAGGCGACGAUCCAUAGCUGGUCUGAGAGGAUGAUCAGCCACACUGGGACUGAGACACGGCCCAGAAUCCUACGGGAGGGAGGAGUGGGGAAUAUUGGAAAAUGGGCGAAAGGCUGAAGCAGCAAGGCCGGGUGAGUGAUGAAGGCCGGAGGGAUGUAAAGCUCUUUUACCCGGGAUGAUAAUGACAGUACCGGGAGAAUAAGCUCCGGCUAACUCCGUG
RNAcentral lists this ribosomal RNA (433 nucleotides) under uncultured bacterium. Its description in RNAcentral is "partial 16S ribosomal RNA". It matches the Rfam family "Bacterial small subunit ribosomal RNA", at positions 29 to 507 of the family's 1533-position model. The record is from RNAcentral.